UUUACCAUAUGCUGUAAAAGGGACCCUCUACCCGGUAAGCUUAAUUCUGCUGUUCAUCGUUUCUCUUUCUGUAUUCAGGAAGCUCUGGUCUUGAUCGUUCGUGACGGGAACGGGAAGUUCUCUCUCCAACGAAGGUGAUUCUGCGAGGGAGAGAAGGAAGAAGAAGAAUAGAGGUCAGUCGAAUCGAACGUGAUCUUGAUUGUGGCUGUACCUACCGUUGUCUCAGUGUAAGUCCCAUGUUCAGUUCGCUCUCUAAAACCCUACUACGCCGCCCGCUGUUCUUGCCCACCACCCUCAGAUUAAUCUCCACCGCCACCCCGAAUCGACCCUCUUUCGCGUUCUCUUAUCUUGUGAAUUCAUGUGGGUUGUCCCCGGAAUCGGCGCUGUUCGUUUCCAACCGCGUCACCUUCGAAACCUCGGCGAGACCCGACGCGGUCGUUAACGUCUUCAAGAGCCAUGGUUUCUCUCAAUCCCAGAUCUCGGGUAUCAUUAGGAAGUGCCCUCCGCUGAUUCUGGCGAGGCCUGAGAGGACCCUCUUGCCCAAAUUGAAGUAUCUACGCUCUGUCGGCUUUUCCGGCUCUGACCUGGCGCCAAUGAUCACCGCUGCUCCCUACUUAUUGACUAGGAGCUUAGAGAAGCGCCUCAUCCCCACUUUCGGUAGGCUGCGGGACUUUCUUGGGUGCGAUAAGAGCGCAGUUACAGCUAUUAGACGCAGUCCAAGAAUAUUGUUACAUGGUUUCGAGGCUACAGUUGAUCGUGUUGUCAAGAUUUUGAGAGAUAAUGGAGUGCGUGAAUCAAGCAUUAUGUGGUUAGUUAAGUGUCAUUUUAGGACGUUGAUGAAUUGGUACGAUCACCUCGAGAAAAUUGUGGAGAAAAUUAAGGGGAUGGGCUUUGAUGAUCCUUCUGCGGCAAAGUUCGCUGUGGCUAUGUUAGCGGUCUUGGGGAUGAGCGAAUCGAUGUGGGAGAGGAAAUUGGAUGCUUAUAGCAGGUGGGGUUGGUCUAAAGAUGAUGCCAUGAGUGCUUUUGUGAAGUGUCCUCGGUGCAUGACGAUAUCCGAGGAAAAAAUAAUGGCAGUGAUGGGAUUUUUUGUGAAUGAAAUGGGGUUUGAAUCUUCAUUUCUUCUGCAACAUCCUACCUUGAUGUCACUGAGCUUAGAAAAACGGAUUCGUCCUCGAUGUUUGGUUUUUAAACAUUUGUCGUCGCAUGGUUUGAUGAAGACGAAGUUUGGCUUGACUACCCUGUUGACGAUUUCUGAUAAAGAUUGCCUGGUGAAGUUCGUGACCCCUCAUAUAGGGGUAGCUCCAGAAUUGCUGGAUAUGUAUCGGGAGAAGAAGCAUAUGGCGAUGGGGGCACUGGUUCCAUGAAAUGGCACACGGUACCACAUAAUUCGUUUGUCCCUCUUUCAUUUAAGGUUGUCAUUCUGUUUAUUUUGCGUCUCAACUUUUGACUGCUGAUUCUUUUGAACUGUGUAGUGUAUCGAUGGAGAAUGCCUGCCAUAUCUUUUGAAAUCAUGGAAAAUGUCCAUUGUUUCACAUUCUCCCUUUAAGUUGGCUCUUUAUUCUUAGGCUUUCUGUAUACCUUGCCUUGAGGUUAAAUGUUCAUAUGAAAGCAUGGCCUAGAUGAUCCCUGAUUGUAGGCUUAAUAAGGUAAGAAAGUUAAGUUGCUCAUGUAUGCUGGUUAAUUCUUUAUCUGCUCAGAAUUUUUCCAAAUUGAGAAGCUUUGGGAAAGUGCCAAAAGGAACGAGGAAACCAUAGCCAUGAAUGCUUGGAAGUCUCAAUCUUCUGAUACACAGCAAUCUUCAGAGUGACAGCUGUGCCAACUUCAAGACCGCGAGACUAGACUUGGUCAUUCACUUGUUCACGAACAAUGGCCUUCAAUCGAUACCAGAUCUCACAGAUCAUUAGGGACACUUCCUCAGGUGAUUGUGGCCAAUCCUGCGAGGAAACCUUUUGCCCAAAUUCAAUUAUGUGCUCUCUUGGCUUUUCCUACUAUGAUCUGGCCAAAGUCAUCACCGCUUUUCAGGUGUUAUGAAGUUGAAGCAAUCUUUUCAUGACGAGCAAGAUAUGAAGUUGCAUAAUUUAUGGUUUAUGUUACGUAUUUUAACUUAUGUUGUCUUUUUUUAUUUCAUGUGUUUGUCUUCUACGAUUUGUCAUUUUUUGCAAGUGAUGAUUUUUAUUAUUAUCUUAUCUUAGAUUUAUGUUUGUUAUGUAUCGAUAUUUAUAGUUUGAUUGCGUAAUAUCGCAUUAUCGAUGGAUAUGUAAUUUGAAAGAA
Molecule: RNA transcript, 2271 nt
Organism: Eucalyptus grandis
Lineage: Eukaryota; Viridiplantae; Streptophyta; Magnoliopsida; Myrtales; Myrtaceae
Gene name: transcription termination factor MTERF9, chloroplastic
Exons: 3
Source: RefSeq, a predicted model, not a curated record